This is an RNA transcript of Myotis lucifugus (little brown bat), 1863 nucleotides long. RefSeq lists it as uncharacterized. Lineage: Eukaryota; Metazoa; Chordata; Mammalia; Chiroptera; Vespertilionidae. The record is from RefSeq and is a predicted model, not a curated record. The transcript is spliced from 4 exons.
AGACCCUGGAAAGUUGGGUUUGUUUUCUCGAAUGUGGGAGCAGCGACCAGGCUUUGGGGCCAGGCUACGACAGCAGGCCUCCCGCGGGUGCAGCCCAGUUGGUCAAGGAUGGUUGUCCCAUUUGUAGCGCUAGUUCCAAGGCACUCUGGCGAGCAGCGGAGGUGCAAACACGAAAAAAAUCAAACCCAAAUGUUGACAUGUGUGGCUAGUCCCAGCCUGAGAAAGAGAGAAGGAUACCGUGGGGUAUCAUGGGUACUGGCUUUCCAGAAAUUUUAUAGGACAUCUUUGAGGUCCACUUUAAACUGGCAGCAAGAUGGACGACUGCAGAGGGUUAAGGCUGCCAUCAGUGAGGAGGGGCUGGCAGAGCUGUCUCCCCAGCAGCGGUAUCCAGUUCAGCCCGGAGCCUACCUGAUGGUGUCUUGGGAAGGUGAGCCCAUUCCAACGCCGCCUCUGAGAGGAAUUGUGUUCACCUCAACGAAAGUACAACUUCACGUCAGAAGGUGCACCCUGCGUGACAGAACCCAGGAGAUAAGGGGAUGGCGUCACACGAUACAAAGGUUUCCAAAGGUCUCACCGGAGGACAGCAGCCACCGAAGCUGUGCGCACGCGCACACAUCCACAAGCAAGAUUCUCGAGUGUCACUGUUACUUGUGUGCACAAGCUCAUGACACCUACCCAUAUGACAGCUUCUCCUUCGACUCGGAGAGACUGCGGCUGCGUUUUAAACUCACCCUGCUCUCCGGAGGGUGCCUCUCAACUGUUGCAGGCUUGAACUCGGGAAGAACAAAAGCAGAGGCCCUCAGCCCCCCUAAGAGGGACAGCUUCAGCGCCAGGCUUCCCCGAGCCACCGCACCUGCACGGGUCUCCUCCACAACCAGCCUCUGAGUUUGACUGACUCAGUGUCAGUGCCCAUGAUGAAAACGAUGUCCAAGGAAGAAGUUUGCAACGUAACAUGAGGGCCGAAGAAAAGAAAGAAUGAAAAUAAGGACAACUUGCAAAUACUCAAAAGCCCAUCUAGGAUAAAACAAAACUGCUUCUCAGUACUUUGGUUUCAACCACUUGCUCUAACCCUCGCUUUAGCGAACACCUGGGGUGGAAGGGGUGAGGUACCAUAGCGGACAACUGCUCUGAACAGCCGGAAGGUAACAAUGCAGCUUGUAAUAAACAGGAUGCCGGGGGGCCAAGCACAGGGCACGGGGCAGGACCAGGUUUUCCAGUUUGGGCAAAACAUGGCUAGAAACUGAUGAUGUUCGAAAAGACAUGACAUUUUUCCUAUCUAAAGGAGGACUGCCUACCUAAAGGAAGAAAUACAGCGAAACACCAACACCUAAUCCAAAUACCAGCCUUUUCCAACUGGGUUCUAGGAGAGUUCAGACCCGAACAAAAUCACUGAAUGACUCUCCUCAAUUCUGCAAAGGACAUUACACAGUUAGCACCAUUCUAGGUGCGCAGGACACGUUAACUCAUUAUAUGAGGAUGGAUUCCUUAAAGUGCUAGGGCUUAAUAGAGAAGAAUUGAUGGAGAAGGGCUGUCCAAAUCCCAAAACAGUACUUAGGUGGAAGUAAACCUAGAGGGUGGGAAAAAACCACCCAACCCUAUACAUGUAGGCUAGGCCUUGCUAUGGUCAAGCUCCGAGUUGCCAUCUUGGGGACCGCAGACUGUAACACCCACUAGGUAGCUCCCAGUCCACCACAUGAAUGGGUCACAUGGGCAUGAGCCACAUAUUUAUUCUCUUGUCUCUCCCUUUUCCAACUUGGGUCCAAGAGAACCCUAAGAUAGAACUCUUAUAUUUGGUGGUGGUUUAAAAAAAAAUAGAACAGCUGAAAGACCCUAAAUAUAAUUAUUCAACAGCAGCAGCGGGGA